Passer domesticus (house sparrow) is the source of this 2686-nucleotide long non-coding RNA. RefSeq lists it as uncharacterized. The record is from RefSeq and is a predicted model, not a curated record. Lineage: Eukaryota; Metazoa; Chordata; Aves; Passeriformes; Passeridae. The transcript has 3 exons.
UCUGCUCUCAGCAGUCCCUGGGGAGCCUUUGGCACUCCCUGCCCUCACUGGGGCCCAGUGAUGCUCCAGGGGACUUGGAGUUUUGCUUCUGACUUCUUGAGCAGCUUCUUCAUCCUUCUCUCAGUGCCUGAGGGUCAUGGAUUCAGCCACAAAUCCACUGUGGGGAUCAUUAACAUACAGAAAGUCCUCGAGGGUUCUUUCUCUUCCUUUAAUUGUCUUCCAAUUGUCCAGGGCUUGUGCAGCUGAUUGGAGUCAGUUUGAAGUUCUGUUAAAGAGGAAGAUUUCAAAGUGCACCUCAUGACUUUUCUUGUUUACUCAAUGCAGUAUUUUUUAUGUUCCAGUUCAGAGAAGAGCUGAUAGAAGCAUUCCCCAGGUGAUCUUGAUGCUGAAUGUCUCCUUAGGAGGUCUUGGCACAGAGAAGGACGAGCCCCCUUUGGGCUGACCCUGUUUGGACAAGCUGCUCCUCACCCCCAGCGUCACCAUGUCUGACAUGGCCCACCUGGCACUGACAUCCCUGUGCCCUGCAGCAGAACCUUGUCCCCUGAGCUCUGCAGCUCCAUGUCCCAGCCCAUUGCACCAUGUUCCAUCUGCUCUCCUCAGGGCUCUGCCUACACAGAGGUCCAGGAGAAGUUUUCCUGUUGGGAAGGAAAGAAUGGAAAAGCCUGAAGAGGUUUCCUAAACAACAAACCCCACUCAGGAACCACCUGCUCAGUCCAGGCUGCCUGGAAUGGUGUCACCUUUCUACAAGGGACAGUAUGGAAGCUGCUGGUGCCAUCAUCACCUUUAACCUCUCUUUUGAAUGCAAACAGAUGUUCCCAGGUGUGCUAAGCAGGAUUUGCUCAAUGUUUCUACAAAACUUUUGUGUUCUUCUUGGAAUGAAGGGGCCAUUUUGAAGGGGGUAUGUGAAAGCAAGGAGUCAAUUGUGACACUGGGGUCUCAUGGAACCAAGGGGCCAUGGUGACACAGCAGGGCCACGUGGAUCCAGUGGUCCAUUGUGACACUGUGGAUCCAUGGAGACACCCCCAGAACCUCAUGGAACCAAGGAGUCCAUGGUGACCCAGCAGGGCUGCAUGGAGCCAAUGGUCCCUGGUGACACUGCCCAUCCAAGGAGGCCACUGUGACACUGCGGGAGCUCAUGGAGCGAGGACAGCUGGGGCCUGAAGAUUGGUGAACUAUUAAUCUUUGGAAACUGCUGAUCAAGGACUGAAGGAUUUUUCACACUGUCAUCUGUACUCUCAGUCGCCUCACAAAAAGAAAUUACAGUGUUGGACCUGUCUCCUGACCCACCUUGUUUUACACCCCAAUGACUAACAAUUGCCCAAGCCAUAUUACUCCUUGAACAGGAUGCUGGUGACGCUUCACUAGUGAUGUGGACCCAGGUGAUAAGUCAUGAUCAACCAAAAAUCGCCUGCACUCUGGAACUUACCAAUGAACAUAUUGUUUUGAUAGGGCUUGUGGACAUGGGAGCAGAUGUGACAAGUAUCUCACGUUCCAAGUGGCCUCCUAACUGGGUGCUCAGAGCUAAUGCGGGAACAUUGUCCAGGAUCAGAGGUGACAGUGAUAGUCUCCAAAGUGCAGAACUCUUCAACAUCAAAGGACCUGAAGACCAAACUGCUACAACAAGACCAUUUGUGGUAAAGGACCUUCGUGUGUCCCAGCUAAGAACAUCAAGCCCUACCUGCAGCCACUGAGCGUGGAUUCACCAAAGGAACCCCCAAGUCCACCCCAGGACAAAAACCACCAGACAGCGACUCUAGUACCUGCACUAGACAAUUCUUUUGAAGAUGACACAUAAGAAGCUUCUACUCACCUUCCUCAGCCUGUUUGCAACCAUGCUCCUCACGAGUGGAUGGGUAGCUCCACAACCAAAGCACAACAUAUGGAUACCUCUAGCAAAAGCCAUGAAACAAGACACCCUGUGCCUGUUGUUAGCCCUGACGACCCCCUCUCCACCUUCCUAGUGGGGUUGCCUACAGAUGUCUGGCCAAUAACUGACAAUUCCACCCCCAGUGUGAGAGAUGACAAUCCUAAAGGCAAAUGCAAGUGCAACCUGUCGAUGCUUGGGACUAAUGGACCCAGAAGCUUCUGCAUGCAGCACUUGAACUCCAGGAGGUAAAAAUUCUCAACUCUGUAAAAAUGGACUUUUGUGUAAGGUUUUAUUACCGUCUGAAAUGGGAAGAAGGUGAAAGACCCAAAAUUACAAGAGAAAAAUAAACUAUCAGGAGAGACAUCUCCCCAUACCAUCCCACUUACAAAAAACAGAACCAAUGGUGUAAUUGCACCUCUUCCAUAAUUUCUCGGUCCGGUAGCUACCCACUUCAGUUGCCACAGGAUGUGUUUCUUAUUUGCAGGGAUGUAGCAUGGCCUGGUAUCCCUUCACACAUCAAAGGCAGACCUUGUAGCUUGGGGAGGCUUACCUUGCUGGCACUCAACAUCUCACUUAAUUAAAAGAAAAAAGUCAUGAGUUGUAGUUUGAAAUCUUCCUCCUUAAUAUAACUCCAAACUGACUCCAGUCAGCUGCACAAGCCCUGAAGACUUGAAGAGCACUGAAGGAAGAGAAAGAGCCCCAAGGGCUUACUGUAUUUUAAUGAUUCCCACAGUGGAUUUGUGGCUGAGUCCAUGACCCUCAGGCACUGAGAGAAGCCUGAAGAAGCUGCUCAAGGAGUCAGAAGCAAAACUCCAAGUC